RNAcentral lists this long non-coding RNA (344 nucleotides) under Diabrotica virgifera virgifera (western corn rootworm). RNAcentral's name for it is "uncharacterized LOC126893406". Lineage: Eukaryota; Metazoa; Arthropoda; Insecta; Coleoptera; Chrysomelidae. The record is from RNAcentral.
CACAGCCUCCUAAAGCUUACAAGCCGUGAAAUGAGAAAAUUGGCAACGUUGAAGCUAGUCCGAUGGUAGUCCAUAUUUACUUUGUUUACAUUGGGAGUUAUGCUAAUUUUGUUAAUUUUUAGUGUAUUAUUGGUGAAUUAUUUGAUUAAAAAAAGAAAAAGUUUUCUCUAUUAACUACUGCAACAGAAGAAGAGGUCCAGAUGACCAAGACAUGAAGACUCGGGGAUCCACAACAGAAGCAGUUCAAAGGAGAGCGUGCAACAGUGGAACAUCAGUGAAGAAAUGAAAUAUAUUAAGUGAAUGUAUUAUAAAUAUUAUUAGGGCAAUAAAUGUAUUUAUUUUUA